GUUGGGGGGGGGGGCCCUCAGCCCAGAUUGUGAGAGGGGGCAGGCCAGGCCGAGAGACCCCACCAGUGCAGA
This 72-nucleotide microRNA precursor is filed under the name Myotis brandtii (Brandt's bat). RNAcentral's name for it is "mir-9193 microRNA precursor family". It matches the Rfam family "mir-9193 microRNA precursor family". The record is from Rfam by way of RNAcentral. Lineage: Eukaryota; Metazoa; Chordata; Mammalia; Chiroptera; Vespertilionidae.